RNAcentral lists this ribosomal RNA (270 nucleotides) under uncultured Wickerhamomyces. Its description in RNAcentral is "partial 18S ribosomal RNA". It matches the Rfam family "Eukaryotic small subunit ribosomal RNA", at positions 1406 to 1676 of the family's 1831-position model. The record is from RNAcentral. Lineage: Eukaryota; Fungi; Ascomycota; Saccharomycetes; Phaffomycetales; Phaffomycetaceae.
ACUUCUUAGAGGGACUAUCGAUUUCAAGUCGAUGGAAGUUUGAGGCAAUAACAGGUCUGUGAUGCCCUUAGACGUUCUGGGCCGCACGCGCGCUACACUGACGGAGCCAGCGAGUAAUAACCUUGGCCGAGAGGUCUGGGUAAUCUUGUGAAACUCCGUCGUGCUGGGGAUAGAGCAUUGCAAUUAUUGCUCUUCAACGAGGAAUUCCUAGUAAGCGCAAGUCAUCAGCUUGCGUUGAUUACGUCCCUGCCCUUUGUACACACCGCCCGU